UUCAUUGUGAGGUCUACUACACCUGUUGUAUUCAGCAUUUCACUGUAAGGUCUACUACACCUGUUGUAUUCAGCAUUUCACUGUACGGUCUACUACACCUGUUGUAUUCAGCAUUUCACUGUAAGGUCUACUACACCUGUUGUAUUCAGCAUUUCACUGUAAGGUCUACUACACCUGUUGUAUUCAGCAUUUCACUGUACGGUCUACUACACCUGUUGUAUUCAGCAUUUCACUGUACGGUCUACUACACCUGUUGUAUUCAGCAUUUCACUGUACGGUCUACUACACCUGUUGUAUUCAGCAUUUCACUGUACGGUCUACUACACCUGUUGUAUUCAGCAUUUCACUGUACGGUCUACUACACCUGUUGUAUUCAGCAUUUCACUGUACGGUCU
Molecule: long non-coding RNA, 395 nt
Organism: Oncorhynchus keta (chum salmon)
Lineage: Eukaryota; Metazoa; Chordata; Actinopteri; Salmoniformes; Salmonidae
Exons: 3
Source: RefSeq, a predicted model, not a curated record